RNAcentral lists this long non-coding RNA (1638 nucleotides) under Homo sapiens (human). RNAcentral describes it as "HSALNT0026549". The record is from RNAcentral. Lineage: Eukaryota; Metazoa; Chordata; Mammalia; Primates; Hominidae.
GUCUUCUAAUCUACAACUAGUCAAUAUUAGUUUUCAGACUGUUAAGGCUGCCAGGCAGGUUAAAAUUUAAUACACGUGUAAUUAGUGGUAAAGUAGAAGAGAAUCUUCAAGUAAAUAGCUCAGCAGCUGAGUUGGCCUAUUGUGUUGCAAAAUGAGCUGUGAACUUAAUGUAAGAAGAUCUGACGCUCUACUGAGGACGGCUGAUGUUGCACUGAAGAGAAUUUCACUCAAAAUAGCUUGGGGAAAACAAGUGUCAUGGUAAAGAUGCUGGGAUCACACAAGAACUGAACAAGACCUGCAACACAGCUGGACUGGAUGGAAAAUGAAGCCAGAGAUUUGCUCUGGAAUGAAAGCCGAACUUGAGCAUAAAUUGGAAUCCCUCAAGAGUCAGGCAAACAUCUCUGAAGUCACAAUGGCUCAGCCGACACCAACAGGCUUGGAAGAAUUCAAUGUUUGUAAACCAGAACCUUCUCACGGAUAUGUUUCCUCGUUAAUCUAACAGUCCUCAAAUCUUUCCAACUGCAGGGAUGUUUUCUUCAAAAGCAGAGAUUUAUCAAAUCUCUUUAGUACUGAGAACGAAGUAAGGAGAGACUGGAGGAUGGGAAAGGAGUCCUUUCCCUCUCUGCUUUUCCCAGGAAACCGUUCCACUGACAGUGAGGCCAACGUUCACUUUCCGUCACCACUCAACUUUGACCAAACUGUCCCACCAAUGGUAAGGACUCUGAGGAAAGCUCAAUUCUCUCUGAUGGGAGCUACAGUGGAGUAGAAAUGGCCCAUCCCCAGCACUGCUGCUGAUACUGAUAGAGGAAAUUAUGCUCAGCACUGUUCUAUAUCAAAAUUCUGACCUCCCAUCAGAUUAUAUAUCUUAGUUCAAACUUAACAACACAUCAGUAUUCUUUCUCUUCAAAAAUAUCUUCAUUAGCACUUUUUCUUAAAAAAAGGGACAUAAUUUCUGGGUUUCUUUUUAUGAAUUGAUUAAAACUCAUUCAUAUUCAUGGGGACAUAGAAAGACUAACUUCAUGUACCUUAAAAUAGAGUUAAAGAAGUAAUAACCCUUAAUUUAUUUCCCAAUAAAUUCCAAACAGAGCAGUUACUUUUUAUUAAAAUAGUCUAUAUGACACCAAGUCUAACAAAUUUCUGAAAAGUAACAUGGAAAAUUACAGGAAAGGGUAACUUAUCUAAUUGUUCACUAAAUUGAAGUUCAUUUUCUUACAGUCUCCCUAUUGUAAUUAUUUUUCAUCCUUUUGAUUUUAAAGUAUUGUGGGUUUUAAAUAUUUUUUAAAUUGAUAAGCUGAACUGAGUCUAUAAGUAGAUAGAUUUUAAAUCUUAAAUAAAUUCAAAAUCAGUCCUCCUUUUGAUUUUAAAGUCUUGUGUUUUUUAAAUUGAUAAGCUGAACUGAGUCUAUCUGUAAGUAGGUAGAGUGGAAAUCUUAAAUAAAUUUAAAAUCAAUCCAAAACCUUUUUCACCUUCUGCUUUCAGCAAUUAAUUCUUAUGUUAUCUAUAGCUCUCCUUUACCCAGAUUCUUGUAUCAGAAAAUGUGUCUAUAGCAUUUAAGGAGGAUUCAAUUUUAAGGAAAUGUUUUAGAGAAAGAAGGUGAAAGAGGAAGAAUACAAAAUAAAUGUACAAUGAAUAAUAAUU